CCCUUAGAUGUUCUGGGCCGCACGCGCGCUACACUGGUGCAUUCAACGAGUCUAAAACCUGCUCUGAUAGGGGUGGGUAAUCUUUUGAAUGUGCAUCGUGAUUGGGAUAGAUGAUUGAAAUUUUUCAUCUUCAACGAGGAAUGCCUAGUAAACGCAAGUCAUCAGCUUGCAUUGAUUACGUCCCUGCCCUUUGUACACACCGCCCGUCGCUCCUACCGAUUGAAUGAUCCGAUGAAUAUCAUGGAUUGAGGAUGCAAGUAGGUUCACCUAUCUUCAUCUUCGAGAAGUGAAGUAAAUCUUAUCAUUUAGAGGAAGGAGAAGUCGUAACA
RNAcentral lists this ribosomal RNA (329 nucleotides) under uncultured eukaryote. Its description in RNAcentral is "partial 18S ribosomal RNA". It matches the Rfam family "Eukaryotic small subunit ribosomal RNA", at positions 1470 to 1796 of the family's 1831-position model. The record is from RNAcentral.